AAUAGAUACCCUGGUAGUCCACGCCGUAAACGAUAAUCACUAGAUGUUGGUCUGGUUUUCCGGAUCAGUGUCGUAGCUAACGCGUUAAGUGAUUCGCCUGGGGAGUACGGUCGCAAGACUAAAACUUAAAGGAAUUGACGGGGGUCCGAACAAGCGGUGGAACAUGUGGUUUAAUUCGACACUACGCGAGGAACCUUACCUGGGUUUGACAUACUUGAGACAGCUUUAGAGAUAAAGUCUUUCGAGAGCAAUCUCGAACUCAAGAACAGGUGCUGCGUGGCUGUCGUCAGCUCGUGUCGUGAGAUGUUGGGUUAAGUCCUUUAACGAGCGCAACCCCUGUCGUUAGUUGCUACUUGCUUUGCAAGGCACUUAACGAGGACUGGCUUGGGAAACCAGGAGGAAGGUGGGGAUGACGUCAAGUCAGCAUGGUCCUUAUGUCCAGGGCUACACACGUGUUACAAUGGUCGAAAACAACGGGGCGCAAUUCCGCAAGGAGGAGCAAAUCCUUAAAAUCGAUCUAAGUUCAGAUUGAGGUCUGCAAUUCGA
This 546-nucleotide ribosomal RNA is filed under the name uncultured bacterium. RNAcentral describes it as "bacterial SSU rRNA". It matches the Rfam family "Bacterial small subunit ribosomal RNA", at positions 777 to 1315 of the family's 1533-position model. The record is from RNAcentral.